UUCUAACCUAUGAAAAAUAAAUCUUGUAAGUUUAAUUUUAUCUAUUGUUAAUGCUUAUAAGGUGUAAGAACAAUUCAUUUAUAUAAUGGUUGCGAAUAAAAGCAGUAUUAUUUGGACUAAUGAAUUGGGCAUCAAAAGUUGUGAUACAGGUAAUACUCUUCGAUUAAUCACAAGAUAACAUGGACUAUUGAACAAAAUGUUUGAUUUUGAAAGUGUUAUUGAUUUACCACUAGCUGGUCUAUAUGUUACUCAAAAGAAGUUUUGGUCGAUACAAAAUUGGGCUCCCAAAUAAUAACGAUACAUACAUUAGUUGAAUCUUUGACAAGUAACAGUUGCGAGAUUUGGCUAAUCAGUUGACAACUAAAGUUGGCACAUGUUAUUGAAUAAUACUCCGUAGUACUAUAUAAUAUGGUCGGAUCUGGUUGGCUAUUGACUGUGGGUGGAGUUUGGUAUGCUGUAUUAUUUCUACUCUGAAUCAGGUGUAAUGAUUCCCUAAAUUUUCUGCAACAUAACAGUCAUUUUGUAAUGAUACCAACUCUGUUGCUUCUUGGGCUAUGGAGGAAAUGAGAAUGUCUCCAUUUCUCGCACAAACCAUUUCUUGAAGGAAAUGGGAAUGUCUGCUAUAGCCUUGACAUUUUUCUUCACAACUGCGAUAGCUUUAACAUUUGGGACAAUGUUCUGAGAUAUUGGUUCCAGAACGUAAUAAAUUUACCAACACAGUAACUUACUAUUCGGAGCUCCAGACUUGUUUAGUUUCUUAUUCUCCACGUAGCUCUUUUAUAUAUGGAUGUCUAAUGUAUUCCGCAG
Molecule: long non-coding RNA, 807 nt
Filed under: Panax ginseng (ginseng)
Lineage: Eukaryota; Viridiplantae; Streptophyta; Magnoliopsida; Apiales; Araliaceae
Description: long non-coding RNA (PGIN_LNC001528)
Source: RNAcentral